RNAcentral lists this ribosomal RNA (108 nucleotides) under uncultured bacterium. RNAcentral describes it as "partial 16S ribosomal RNA". It matches the Rfam family "Bacterial small subunit ribosomal RNA", at positions 35 to 140 of the family's 1533-position model. The record is from RNAcentral.
GCUGGCGGCGUGCCUAACACAUGCAAGUCGAACGAGAACGGUUCCUUCGGGAGCUUAGUAAAGUGGCGAACGGGUGAGUAACGCGUGGAUAAUCUGCCCUCAAGUGGG